This 988-nucleotide ribosomal RNA is filed under the name Plasmodium knowlesi. Its description in RNAcentral is "SSU rRNA". It matches the Rfam family "Eukaryotic small subunit ribosomal RNA", at positions 638 to 1428 of the family's 1831-position model. The record is from RNAcentral. Lineage: Eukaryota; Apicomplexa; Aconoidasida; Haemosporida; Plasmodiidae.
ACAUAACUGAUGCCUCCGCGUAUCGACUUUGUGUGCAUUUUAGCUAUUAUGUGUUCUUUUAAUUAAAAUGAUUCUUUUUAAGAUUCAUCUAUUAAAAAUUUGCUUCGGCAUAAUUUUUUUUGAUGAUCUUGUUACUUUGAGUAAAUUAGAGCGUUCAAAGCAAACAGAUAUAGCAUUUGUGCGUUUGAAUACUACAGCAUGGAAUAACAAAAUUGAACAAGUCAGAAUUUUUUUGUUCUUUUUUCUUAUUUUGGCUUAGUUACGAUUAAUAGGAGUAGCUUGGGGGCAUUUGUAUUCAGAUGUCAGAGGUGAAAUUCUUAGAUUUUCUGGAGACAAACAACUGCGAAAGCAUUUGCCUAAAAUACUUCCAUUAAUCAAGAACGAAAGUUAAGGGAGUGAAGACGAUCAGAUACCGUCGUAAUCUUAACCAUAAACUAUGCCGACUAGGCUUUGGAUGAAAGAUUUUAAAAUAAGAGUUUUUCUUUUCUCUCCGGAGAUUAGGACUCUUAGAUUGCUUCCUUCAGUGCCUUAUGAGAAAUCAAAGUCUUUGGGUUCUGGGGCGAGUAUUCGCGCAAGCGAGAAAGUUAAAAGAAUUGACGGAAGGGCACCACCAGGCGUGGAGCUUGCGGCUUAAUUUGACUCAACACGGGAAAACUCACUAGUUUAAGACAAGAGUAGGAUUGACAGAUUAAUAGCUCUUUCUUGAUUUCUUGGAUGGUGAUGCAUGGCCGUUUUUAGUUCGUGAAUAUGAUUUGUCUGGUUAAUUCCGAUAACGAACGAGAUCUUAACCUGCUAAUUAGCGGCAAAUACGAUAUAUUCUUAUGUAGAAUUGAAUAUAGUGGAUUUGUUGGAUUUUGAAGAAAAUAUUGGAAUUACGUUUAAAUGUGAUUCCUUUCCCUUUUCUACUUAAUUUACAUUUCCAUCUAUUUCUUUUUUGCGUAUGAAUGUAUUUGCUUGAUUGUAAAGCUUCUUAGAGGAACGAUGUGUG